Tribolium castaneum (red flour beetle) is the source of this 2346-nucleotide long non-coding RNA. RefSeq lists it as uncharacterized. The transcript has 4 exons. NCBI's taxonomy places the organism in Eukaryota, Metazoa, Arthropoda, Insecta, Coleoptera, Tenebrionidae. The record is from RefSeq and is a predicted model, not a curated record.
UAUUAUUAUUAUUAUUAUUAUUAUUAACAUAGAUUCUUUGCUGAGGUUAACACCUUUAUAGCAAAAUAUCAAGAAAUACGGUUUCGUGUUAAAUAAAACACCAUUGAAUAAUGAAAAAUGAAAUACAAUUUUAAUCUACAGUUAAAUUAGUUAAUUAAUAAAGGUUAAUGUUAAUUAUUGUAAUGUGUCAUAUUGAUUCUUGAAGGAAGAAACAGUAACAGCUGCAACAACGUUAUCAGGCAUGCCAUUCCAUAUAUCAAAUGCACGAUUUGUCAAAUAAUUCUUUCUAACGGUAGUCUUAAAUGGUUCUUUUUUCAGCUUAUAAGAAUGACCUCUAAGUCUGUCAUGAUAUUGAAUUUGCAAGAAAUUGCGUGUUACUCCAGGAAAUAAACCAUGAGUAAGCCGAAAAAUUUGAAUUGCAUCUGCCCUGUUUUGACGAGCACGUAGAUCUGGUAUUUUGAGUAUUUCAAGACGUUGUUCAUAUGAAACUUGUCUUAAACAGUGUGUCCAUCUAGUUACCAGGUGCUGAGUUCUUUCCAGCAAAUCAAUAUCCUUUAACAAAUAAGGUCUCCAGACUGGAAUGGCAAAUUCCAAAUGCGGCCUUAUGUAAGUGAUGUACACCUUUGAAAUAAAACUGACUGAAGGAUUUGGAAAAACAUGCUUUAGCAAAUAAAACAUUUUACGCGCUCGACCCACUGAUGCUAGACAUUGCUCUGACCAUCCUAACUUAUCAUUUACAAUGACCCCUAGAUCUUUGGUUGAGGUUUUUACACUCAGGAGUGUGCCAUUUAUAUGGUAAAGGUACUUUGGGUUGUUGUGGCCACACUGAAGUACACAGCAUUUUGCAAUAUUUAGUGGUAUUUGCCACUUCUCGCUCCAUUGGAAGAUUAAAUUAAGUUGGUCUUGCAAGUCCGUGACAAGUGGGUUAGCAAAUAACUUAAUAUCAUCCGCAUAUGCUGAAUAGCUGUCCAGUGAAAACAAUAAAUCUGCUGUAUAUAACAAGAAUAAAAUUGGUCCAAGAACUGAUCCCUGUGGGACCCCACUUAAUACUGGUUUAGAGUACGAAAAUUUACCGCAGACUUUUACACAAUAGUUUCGAUUUGAUAGAAACGCUCGGAUCCAAUCAAGCAAAUUUCCUGUUACACCAUAGGACUCCAGUUUUGCUAACAAGAGAUUGUGAGGGACUUUAUCAAAGGCUUUACUAAAAUCAAGAUUUGUGCAGGAUAGCAAAUUUGUGACAACUGACCUACCUGGUAAAAAGCCGUGCUGAUGCUCAGCAUGUCGACGUGAGACUUACAGGUCUAUAGUUAGCAGGAUCAAGUUUAUCUCCUGACUUGUACAAAGGCGUGAUUGUUGCUUGCAACCACUCGUAGGGCAAAGUGCCUUGUAAGAAUGAUUUUGUCAUCAUUUUGGCAAGUGGGCCCGACAACGAAGCAGCACAAGUUCUCAGGAGUUUGGGAGGUAUCUGAUCCGGACCUGGAGCUGUAUUUAAUUUAAUGGCACAGAGUUGGCUUUUUACCAGAUCCGGAGUAAAAUUAAUAUAAGACAACCCACUAAAUGUAGCAGCAAAACUGUCCGCUAAAGUGUUUGCAGUUUCUGUAUGAUCGGAGCAGAGUAGACCUGAAGCAUUUCGUACUAAAGGGACCGACACACGACUAGAGAUAAAUUUACGUACAUGGGAAUAAAAUAGUUUUGGUUUAUUUAAUAUAGAAUUUUCAUAAUUACACCUGGCUAUUUGUAAAUCAGAUUUUAGUUGGUUAGAAAAUCUUUUAUAAGCAGAAAAAUUAUUUUCGGUAGGCUGCCUUUUAAAUUUUUUCCAUAAUUUAGCUUUGUAUUUUAUUUUGUCAAGCAUGUGUUGAUUUAUCCACGGUUUAUCUUUUCUCAGUCGGUUUGUAAACAGUCUGGAAUUUGUUGUAAUGCAAGUUUGUAAAAUCGAUUUAAAAUGUUUCCAUUGUUCUUCCGCAUUUAGUGAAUCUAAACCAUUCCAGUCGUAAGUCAAGAGACUUUCGUCUAUGCGAGUGUAGUCAACAAUUGAUGUUGUUUUAAUUCUUGCAUUUGGCUCUGAAUAUAUCAUAAUUUGUAACUCAAUUUCGAUUUUUGAAUGAUCAGAUGUACCUACAGGAUUCGAAACGUUUAAAGACGAUACAAGGUUAACGUCAGACAAAAUUACCAAAUCAAGUAAUGAAGGACGUUGUUGGGAUCUAAAUCGUGUAGGUUCAGUGACUAUUUGUGACAAAUUAUUCUCCAAGAGCAAUUCAGAAAAUUGUUUUUCGAUGAUUGUUUGACCUGUUGUGUUUUUAGCAGACCAGUCUAUACAUGGAAAAUUGAAAUCUCCCAUAAUAAUUA